CAGUAGCCGCGGGAAUACAGAGGGUGCGAGCGUUAAUCGGAUUUACUGGGCGUAAAGCGUGCGUAGGCGGCUUCUUAAGUCGGAUGUGAAAUCCCUGAGCUUAACUUAGGAAUUGCAUUCGAUACUGGGAAGCUAGAGUAUGGGAGAGGAUGGUAGAAUUCCAGGUGUAGCGGUGAAAUGCGUAGAGAUCUGGAGGAAUACCGAUGGCGAAGGCAGCCAUCUGGCCUAAUACUGACGCUGAGGUACGAAAGCAUGGGGAGCAAACAGGAUUAGAUACCCCAGUAGUCCCUGUCUCUUAUCC
RNAcentral lists this ribosomal RNA (301 nucleotides) under uncultured bacterium. RNAcentral's name for it is "partial 16S ribosomal RNA". It matches the Rfam family "Bacterial small subunit ribosomal RNA", at positions 509 to 809 of the family's 1533-position model. The record is from RNAcentral.